Molecule: non-coding RNA, 107 nt
Organism: Cicer arietinum (chickpea)
Lineage: Eukaryota; Viridiplantae; Streptophyta; Magnoliopsida; Fabales; Fabaceae
Source: Rfam
UAAACAUGAUUGGGGCAUCCUACUAGUAAACUCUUCAAAUUCUUGUAAGUGUCACGAAGAAAUUCUCUUUCUUUCUAUUUGUAACCAGAAAUCUCUUUCCUUUUUCG